This is a long non-coding RNA of Nilaparvata lugens (brown planthopper), 552 nucleotides long. RefSeq lists it as uncharacterized. NCBI's taxonomy places the organism in Eukaryota, Metazoa, Arthropoda, Insecta, Hemiptera, Delphacidae. The transcript has 3 exons. The record is from RefSeq and is a predicted model, not a curated record.
UGUGAAUUUUUGUUGAAUGUUGUGUUAUGUUCUUAGAGAAUCUUGAUUCAUCUUGUUUUAAUAAAAAUUGGUUUUUAUCUGAAAUUAUCAACUUUUAAGUUCAACUUUAAUGAACUUUAAGUUUAACUUUUAUUAACUUUAAGUUUUCUGCUGGUUUCAGGUCUUCUGUAUACUCCAAAAGCAAAGUCAUAAAAGCAGUGACCCCUCUUGAUGUAGAAGAUGGUUCAUCGAUGAAAAUCUACCGUAUGCGGUCGUCACCAGAGGCUACGCGCUCAUAAUAAACAUCCACGAAUUCUUCGAGCCAAUUAAGUCAUCUGAUGACGACACCAGGCAUGGCUCAUACAGGGAUGUGGCAAACAUCUACACUCUCUUCUCCCAGCUAGGUUACAAAGUUAGGAUGCACUACAACCUCACAAAAAAGGAAAUACACGACAAAGUGAGCAGUUUUGCCGAGAUGCCGGAGCACGCCUCUGUCGAUUCAACAGUGGUUGUGGUGAUGAGCCAUGGAGGGAGAUAUAAUGACACAUUUCGGGCCUAUGACAAUCUACUAGU